This 442-nucleotide ribosomal RNA is filed under the name uncultured bacterium. Its description in RNAcentral is "partial 16S ribosomal RNA". It matches the Rfam family "Bacterial small subunit ribosomal RNA", at positions 338 to 795 of the family's 1533-position model. The record is from RNAcentral.
CCUACGGGUGGCAGCAGUGGGGAAUAUUGGGCAAUGGGCGCAAGCCUGACCCAGCAACGCCGCGUGAAGGAAGAAGGCCUUCGGGUUGUAAACUUCUUUUAAGAGGGAAGAGCAGAAGACGGUACCUAUCGAAUAAGCCACGGCUAACUACGUGCCAGCAGCCGCGGUAAUACGUAGGUGGCAAGCGUUGUCCGGCUUUACUGGGUGUAAAGGGCGUGAAGCCGGGAAGAAAAGUCAGAUGUGAAAUCCCGGGGCUCAACCGCGGAACUGCAUUUGAAACUGGUUUUCUUGAGUACCGGAGAGGGCAGCGGAAUUCCUGGUGUAGCGGUGAAAUGCGUAGAUAUAAGGAAGAACACCGAUGGCGAAGGCAGAAGACUGGACGGCAACUGACGGUGAGGCGCGAAAGCGUGGGGAGCAAACAGGAUUAGAUACCCCGGUAGUC